This 987-nucleotide ribosomal RNA is filed under the name Cellulomonas cellasea. RNAcentral describes it as "bacterial SSU rRNA". It matches the Rfam family "Bacterial small subunit ribosomal RNA", at positions 56 to 1056 of the family's 1533-position model. Lineage: Bacteria; Bacillati; Actinomycetota; Actinomycetes; Micrococcales; Cellulomonadaceae. The record is from RNAcentral.
UGCAGUCGAACGGUGACGACGGGGCUUGCUCUGUCUGAUCAGUGGCGAACGGGUGAGUAACACGUGAGUAACCUGCCCCCGACUCUGGAAUAACCGUGGGAAACGACGGCUAAUACCGGAUAUGAGACGCACGGGCAUCUGUGUGUCUGGAAAGAUUUAUCGGUCAGGGAUGGACUCGCGGCCUAUCAGCUUGUUGGUGGGGUAAUGGCCUACCAAGGCGACGACGGGUAGCCGGCCUGAGAGGGCGACCGGCCACACUGGGACUGAGAUACGGCCCAGACUCCUACGGGAGGCAGCAGUGGGGAAUAUUGCACAAUGGGCGCAAGCCUGAUGCAGCGACGCCGCGUGAGGGAUGAAGGCCUUCGGGUUGUAAACCUCUUUCAGCAGGGAAGAAGCGAAAGUGACGGUACCUGCAGAAGAAGCGCCGGCUAACUACGUGCCAGCAGCCGCGGUAAUACGUAGGGCGCAAGCGUUGUCCGGAAUUAUUGGGCGUAAAGAGCUCGUAGGCGGUUUGUCGCGUCUGCUGUGAAAACCUGAGGCUCAACCUCGGGCUUGCAGUGGGUACGGGCAGACUAGAGUGCGGUAGGGGUGACUGGAAUUCCUGGUGUAGCGGUGGAAUGCGCAGAUAUCAGGAGGAACACCGAUGGCGAAGGCAGGUCACUGGGCCGCAACUGACGCUGAGGAGCGAAAGCAUGGGGAGCGAACAGGAUUAGAUACCCUGGUAGUCCAUGCCGUAAACGUUGGGCACUAGGUGUGGGGCUCAUUCCACGAGUUCCGUGCCGCAGCAAACGCAUUAAGUGCCCCGCCUGGGGAGUACGGCCGCAAGGCUAAAACUCAAAGAAAUUGACGGGGGCCCGCACAAGCGGCGGAGCAUGCGGAUUAAUUCGAUGCAACGCGAAGAACCUUACCAAGGCUUGACAUACACCGGAAAAGUGCAGAGAUGUGCUCCCCGCAAGGUCGGUGUACAGGUGGUGCAUGGUUGUCGUC